CCGGCGAGGGGAGUGAAAAAGAACCUGAAACCGUGUACGUACAAGCAGUGGGAGCACCCUUCGGGGUGUGACUGCGUACCUUUUGUAUAAUGGGUCAGCGACUUAUAUUCUGUAGCAAGGUUAACCGAAUAGGGGAGCCGGAGGGAAACCGAGUCUUAAUUGGGCGUUAAGUUGCAGGGUAUAGACCCGAAACCCGGUGAUCUAGCCAUGGGCAGGUUGAAGGUUGGGUAACACUAACUGGAGGACCGAACCGACUAAUGUUGAAAAAUUAGCGGAUGACCUGUGGCU
Molecule: ribosomal RNA, 288 nt
Filed under: Salmonella enterica subsp. enterica serovar Michigan
Lineage: Bacteria; Pseudomonadati; Pseudomonadota; Gammaproteobacteria; Enterobacterales; Enterobacteriaceae
Description: partial 23S ribosomal RNA
Rfam family: Bacterial large subunit ribosomal RNA
Source: RNAcentral